This 349-nucleotide ribosomal RNA is filed under the name uncultured Tulasnellaceae. RNAcentral's name for it is "eukaryotic LSU rRNA". Lineage: Eukaryota; Fungi; Basidiomycota; Agaricomycetes; Cantharellales; Tulasnellaceae. The record is from RNAcentral.
CGCACCUUGCACCCUCCUGGUAUUCCGGAGGGUAUGCCCGGUUGAGUGUCAUGAAUAUCUCAACUCCAACGUUUUGUUAAACGGUCUUGUUGACGUUGUCCUGCCGGCCUAGCGAGGCUGACUGCGACUGUUGCGAGGCUGAAGCGUUGGAGCUUGGACCUUGAGCUCUGUUGGCCUUCCCAGGUCGACUGGGCUAGAAAAUGCAUCAGCGAUGACGUCCCUGGGUCCAUCUCGGCGUGAUAAGUUGAUCGUCGCAAAGGUCUCUCGGGUUGGCUCGCUCCUAAUCGUCUUCGGGACAGGCCUCUGACGUUUACACCUCAACUCGGGUAGGACUACCCGCUGAACUUAA